GCAGCCGCCACGGUAAUACGGAGGGUGCAAGCGUUAAUCGGAAUUACUGGGCGUAAAGCGCACGCAGGCGGUCUGACAAGUCAGAUGUGAAAUCCCCGGGCUUAACCUGGGAACUGCAUUUGAAACUGUCAGGCUGGAGUCUUGUAGAGGGGGGUAGAAUUCCAGGUGUAGCGGUGAAAUGCGUAGAGAUCUGGAGGAAUACCGGUGGCGAAGGCGGCCCCCUGGACAAAGACUGACGCUCAGGUGCGAAAGCGUGGGGAGCAAACAGGAUUAGAUACCCGAGUAGUCCCUGUCUCUUAUAC
This 302-nucleotide ribosomal RNA is filed under the name uncultured bacterium. RNAcentral describes it as "partial 16S ribosomal RNA". It matches the Rfam family "Bacterial small subunit ribosomal RNA", at positions 508 to 807 of the family's 1533-position model. The record is from RNAcentral.